CAGGCUUAACACAUGCAAGUCGAGGGGCAGCAUGGUCUUAGCUUGCUAAGGCCGAUGGCGACCGGCGCACGGGUGAGUAACACGUAUCCAACCUGCCGUCUACUCUUGGACAGCCUUCUGAAAGGAAGAUUAAUACAAGAUGGCAUCAUGAGUCCGCAUGUUCACAUGAUUAAAGGUAUUCCGGUAGACGAUGGGGAUGCGUUCCAUUAGAUAGUAGGCGGGGUAACGGCCCACCUAGUCUUCGAUGGAUAGGGGUUCUGAGAGGAAGGUCCCCCACAUUGGAACUGAGACACGGUCCAAACUCCUACGGGAGGCAGCAGUGAGGAAUAUUGGUCAAUGGGCGAGAGCCUGAACCAGCCAAGUAGCGUGAAGGAUGACUGCCCUAUGGGUUGUAAACUUCUUUUAUAAAGGAAUAAAGUCGGGUAUGGAUACCCGUUUGCAUGUACUUUAUGAAUAAGGAUCGGCUAACUCCGUGCCAGCAGCCGCGGUAAUACGGAGGAUCCGAGCGUUAUCCGGAUUUAUUGGGUUUAAAGGGAGCGUAGAUGGAUGUUUAAGUCAGUUGUGAAAGUUUGCGGCUCAACCGUAAAAUUGCAGUUGAUACUGGAUAUCUUGAGUGCAGUUGAGGCAGGCGGAAUUCGUGGUGUAGCGGUGAAAUGCUUAGAUAUCACGAAGAACUCCGAUUGCGAAGGCAGCCUGCUAAGCUGCAACUGACAUUGAGGCUCGAAAGUGUGGGUAUCAAACAGGAUUAGAUACCCUGGUAGUCCACACGGUAAACGAUGAAUACUCGCUGUUUGCGAUAUACUGCAAGCGGCCAAGCGAAAGCGUUAAGUAUUCCACCUGGGGAGUACGCCGGCAACGGUGAAACUCAAAGGAAUUGACGGGGGCCCGCACAAGCGGAGGAACAUGUGGUUUAAUUCGAUGAUACGCGAGGAACCUUACCCGGGCUUAAAUUGCAGAUGAAUUACGGUGAAAGCCGUAAGCCGCAAGGCAUCUGUGAAGGUGCUGCAUGGUUGUCGUCAGCUCGUGCCGUGAGGUGUCGGCUUAAGUGCCAUAACGAGCGCAACCCUUGUUGUCAGUUACUAACAGGUUCCGCUGAGGACUCUGACAAGACUGCCAUCGUAAGAUGUGAGGAAGGUGGGGAUGACGUCAAAUCAGCACGGCCCUUACGUCCGGGGCUACACACGUGUUACAAUGGGGGGUACAGAGGGCCGCUACCACGCGAGUGGAUGCCAAUCCCCAAAACCUCUCUCAGUUCGGACUGGAGUCUGCAACCCGACUCCACGAAGCUGGAUUCGCUAGUAAUCGCGCAUCAGCCACGGCGCGGUGAAUACGUUCCCGGGCCUUGUACACACCGCCCGUCAAGCCAUGGGAGCCGGGGGUACCUGAAGUGCGUAACCGCGAGGAGCGCCCUAGGGUAAAACUGGUGACUGGGGCUAAA
RNAcentral lists this ribosomal RNA (1438 nucleotides) under uncultured organism. RNAcentral describes it as "SSU rRNA". It matches the Rfam family "Bacterial small subunit ribosomal RNA". The record is from RNAcentral.